This is a long non-coding RNA of Hirundo rustica (Barn swallow), 1247 nucleotides long. RefSeq lists it as uncharacterized. Lineage: Eukaryota; Metazoa; Chordata; Aves; Passeriformes; Hirundinidae. The record is from RefSeq and is a predicted model, not a curated record. The transcript is spliced from 3 exons.
CCUGGGUUGAAGCUCAGUGGUCCAACAGGCCUGGAAUGACCAGCCUGGGGAGGUUAAUAUUCAAUUAUUUAGUGUUUAGGCAGUGUCACCCCUCCCAGCAGACUCCAUAUCUCAGGCAGAGGCUUUAAUCUCAUCUUUUGAGGAAAGGGGAGGGAAAAAAUACACACCCAAGCACCCAGGAUCUCAUACUUCUGUGCUGUGGGACCUAAGGAUGUGUUAGCAGAUGCAAAUGUCCAUCACCUGCUCCUUAUCCUGGCUCUGAAAAAAAAUAUUCAAGGACCUUCCUUGCAGUUGCAAAGCUUUACCACAACUGUGUUUUAACCUCUCUUCACUUUGAUCUGCUCAGCUGCAGUUUUGCUUCCUGCAGGUGAUUCCAUGUUCCUGCAGGAGCUGAUCCCUCGACUGGCACCUCCCUGGCUGAGCAUCUGUGCCCAGGGAUGGGGAGGGCACAUCCUCCAAGCCCUUGGCUUGGAAAAAUGACCUCUAAUUAACAAGAAAUGCAAGAAUUCCGCUGUGAAAAUAGUUUCCACCCAGCAUGGAAAUGAGCUCAGCUCUGGAGCACGCUGGCCCCAGCAGCUGGGGUUGUGCUGCUCAUUUGCAGUGGGGUGGUGGGGCUCAAAUCAGAGUUCAGGUCACCCAUCAAGGGGGAUUUCCUCUGCCCGGUCUCACUUUCAGUCCCUAUUUGGGAUCUGUCUUGCACUUUUCCAUGGAAAGACCAACAACUUCAUGGGAAUGUUCUCAGUGUGAAGAGUGGAAUACCUUUCCUUCAGGAGACUCUCUGAUGACGCCACCACUGAUCUCAGCAGCUCUGCUGGGACCAGAGCAGAACUCCGGCCUGUUUAACCCCUCUCACAUAAAACCAGAUUGAAAUCAAAUGGUUCUGUCAAAUAGUUCUGUCAAUCACUGCACACGGGUGUUGCUUUCCUGCAGGUUUGAGGUCAGGUUGUGCUGUCCACAUGGGAAUCCCACAGGAUGUGUAGGAGAUUUCUGAGGUCUCUCACCUCUGCUCAGGUGUCUGUUUUCAUGAAACUUGAGAAAAUCAUUAGUUUUGUGACUGUGGAAUUGGAGAAAGGGGUAAAAGGUUGCACCAGGGAGGAGUGGGAGAGGAAUAACAUCUACAUCCACACAUCCCACCCCGUUGUGUUAGAAAAGUACUCUGAUAUUUCCUGUUUUUCAUUUUCUACACCAACAGCAUCAUUGCUUCCUGCUGGAGGUGCAUGGAAACUGCUUCUGUUUGCCCCUGUAAU